AUGGGCACGCUUCUCCGCCGCGUCCUCCUCUCCCUCGCGCUCCUCGCCGCUGCCGCGACCCCCGGCGCGGCGGCGGCGGCGGCCAGGCUGUCGACGUCGUACUACAGCCGCAGCUGCCCCCGCGUGGAGCAGAUCGUCUCGGACGUGGUCGCCGCCAAGCAGCACGCCAACCCGUCCACGGCGGCGGGCACGCUGCGCCUCUUCUUCCACGACUGCUUCGUCUCCGGCUGCGACGCCUCCGUCCUCGUCUCCCCGCUCUCCUCGGACCGUACCCCGGAGCGCGCCGCGGAGAUCAACCUGUCCCUCCCGGGGGACGCCUUCGACGCCGUGGCCCGCGCCAAGGCCGCGCUGGAGGCCGCCUGCCCGGGCACCGUCUCCUGCGCCGACAUCCUCGCGCUGGCCGCGCGCGACCUGGUGGGGAUCCUGGGCGGGCCGCGGUUCCCCGUCCUCCUCGGCCGCCGCGACGCGCGCCGCUCCGACGCGCGCGACGUGGAGGGCAACCUCCCGCGCACCAACAUGUCGGCGCGCGCCAUGACGGUCCUGUUCGCGCGCAAGGGCAUCACGCCGCAGGAGAUGGUGGCGCUGGCGGGCGCCCACACCGUGGGCUUCUCCCACUGCUCCGAGUUCGCGCACCGGGUGUACAACUACAAGGGCAAGGGCAGCGGCGCCGGGCACGACCCGUCGCUGAACCCGGAGUUCGCGCGGGCGCUGCAGAGCUCCUGCGCCGGCUACGAGAGCAACCCGGACAUCUCCAUCUUCAACGACAUCGUGACGCCGCGGGACUUCGACGAGCUCUACUUCAAGAACCUGCCCCGUGGCCUCGGGCUGCUCGCCUCCGACGCCGCGCUGUGGGAGUACCCGCCCACCAAGGUGUUCGUCCAGCAGUACGCCGACAACCGGACCGCCUUCUUCCAGGACUUCGCCAAGGCGAUGCAGAAGCUCGGCACCGUCGGCGUCAAGACGGGACGGCAGGGCGUCGUCAGGCGGCAGUGCGACAUCCUCGACUGA
RNAcentral lists this ribosomal RNA (1008 nucleotides) under Triticum aestivum (bread wheat). RNAcentral describes it as "partial small subunit ribosomal RNA". The record is from RNAcentral. Lineage: Eukaryota; Viridiplantae; Streptophyta; Magnoliopsida; Poales; Poaceae.